This 1277-nucleotide ribosomal RNA is filed under the name Beauveria gryllotalpidicola. Its description in RNAcentral is "partial large subunit ribosomal RNA". It matches the Rfam family "Eukaryotic large subunit ribosomal RNA", at positions 98 to 1407 of the family's 3401-position model. The record is from RNAcentral. Lineage: Eukaryota; Fungi; Ascomycota; Sordariomycetes; Hypocreales; Cordycipitaceae.
GCGGCAACAGCUCAAAUUUGAAAUCUGGCCCUCGGGUCCGAGUUGUAAUUUGUAGAGGAUGCUUUUGGCGAGGUGCCUUCCGAGUUCCCUGGAACGGGACGCCAUAGAGGGUGAGAGCCCCGUCUGGUCGGACACCGAGCCUCUGUAAAGCUCCUUCGACGAGUCGAGUAGUUUGGGAAUGCUGCUCAAAAUGGGAGGUAUAUGUCUUCUAAAGCUAAAUAUUGGCCAGAGACCGAUAGCGCACAAGUAGAGUGAUCGAAAGAUGAAAAGCACUUUGAAAAGAGGGUUAAAAAGUACGUGAAAUUGUUGAAAGGGAAGCGCCUAUGACCAGACUUGCGCCCGGUGAAUCAUCCAGCGUUCUCGCUGGUGCACUUUGCCGGGCACAGGCCAGCAUCAGUUUGGCACGGGGGAAAAAGGCUUUGGGAAUGUGGCUCUCUAGGGAGUGUUAUAGCCCGCUGCGUAAUACCCUGCGCCGGACUGAGGUACGCGCAUUGCAAGGAUGCUGGCGUAAUGGUCAUCAGCGACCCGUCUUGAAACACGGACCAAGGAGUCGUCUUCGUAUGCGAGUGUUCGGGUGUUAAACCCCUACGCGUAAUGAAAGUGAACGUAGGUGAGAGCUUCGGCGCAUCAUCGACCGAUCCUGAUGUUCUCGGAUGGAUUUGAGUAAGAGCAUACGGGGCCGGACCCGAAAGAAGGUGAACUAUGCCUGUAUAGGGUGAAGCCAGAGGAAACUCUGGUGGAGGCUCGCAGCGGUUCUGACGUGCGAAUCGAUCGUCAAAUAUGGGCAUGGGGGCGAAAGACUAAUCGAACCUUCUAGUAGCUGGUUUCCGCCGAAGUUUCCCUCAGGAUAGCAGUGUUGGACUCAGUUUUAUGAGGUAAAGCGAAUGAUUAGGGACUCGGGGGCGCUAUAUUGCCUUCAUCCAUUCUCAAACUUUAAAUAUGUAAGAAGCCCUUGUUGCUUAAUUGAACGCGGGCAUUCGAAUGUAUCAACACUAGUGGGCCAUUUUUGGUAAGCAGAACUGGCGAUGCGGGAUGAACCGAACGCGAGGUUAAGGUGCCGGAGUGGACGCUCAUCAGACACCACAAAAGGUGUUAGUACAUCUUGACAGCAGGACGGUGGCCAUGGAAGUCGGAAUCCGCUAAGGACUGUGUAACAACUCACCUGCCGAAUGUACUAGCCCUGAAAAUGGAUGGCGCUCAAGCGUUCCACCCAUACCUCGCCCUCAGGGUAGAAACGAAGCCCUGAGGAGUAGGCGGACGUGGAGGUCAGUGACGAA